Non-coding RNA from Acanthosepion pharaonis, 106 nucleotides. The record is from the annotation of a GenBank genome assembly. NCBI's taxonomy places the organism in Eukaryota, Metazoa, Mollusca, Cephalopoda, Sepiida, Sepiidae.
UUACGGCUACAUCACGUUGAAAUACCGGUUCCCAAACGAUCACAGAAGUUAAGCAACGCCGAGCCUGGUCAGUGCCUAGAUGGGUGACCAUUUGGGAAUAUAAGGU